AGAGUUUGAUCCUGGCUCAGGAUGAACGCUGGCGGCGUGCCUAAUACAUGCAAGUCGAGCGGCAGCGAAGGGUGCUUGCACCCUGUCGGCGAGCGGCGGACGGCUGAGUAAUACGUAGGAACGUACCCCAAAGUGAGGAAUAACUGCCCGAAAGGGUAGCUAAUGCCGCAUGUGCUCUAAGGAGUAAAGCUUCGGCGCUU
RNAcentral lists this ribosomal RNA (200 nucleotides) under uncultured bacterium. RNAcentral describes it as "partial 16S ribosomal RNA". It matches the Rfam family "Bacterial small subunit ribosomal RNA", at positions 8 to 220 of the family's 1533-position model. The record is from RNAcentral.